UACGUAGGGCGCAAGCGUUGUCCGGAAUUAUUGGGCGUAAAGAGCUCGUAGGCGGUCUGUCGCGUCGGCUGUGAAAACCCGGGGCUCAACCCCGGGCCUGCAGUCGAUACGGGCAGACUAGAGUGCGGUAGGGGAGACUGGAAUUCCUGGUGUAGCGGUGAAAUGCGCAGAUAUCAGGAGGAACACCGGUGGCGAAGGCGGGUCUCUGGGCCGAUAUUGACGCUGAGGAGCGAAAGCGUGGGGAGCGAACAGG
This 253-nucleotide ribosomal RNA is filed under the name uncultured bacterium. Its description in RNAcentral is "partial 16S ribosomal RNA". It matches the Rfam family "Bacterial small subunit ribosomal RNA", at positions 524 to 776 of the family's 1533-position model. The record is from RNAcentral.